AAGCCCAUGGGGCGCAGCAGUAGGGAAUCUUCGGCAAUGGGCGAAAGCCUGACCGAGCAACGCCGCGUGAAUGAAGAAGGCCUUCGGGUCGUAAAAUUCUGUUAUAAGGGAAGAAAGGUGAUAGGAGGAAAUGACUAUCAAUUGACGGUACCUGACUAAGAAGCCCCGGCUAACUACGUGCCAGCAGCCGCGGUAAUACGUAGGGGGCAAACGUUAUCCGGAUUUACUGGGUGUAAAGGGAGCGUAGACG
Molecule: ribosomal RNA, 250 nt
Filed under: uncultured bacterium
Lineage: Bacteria
Description: partial 16S ribosomal RNA
Rfam family: Bacterial small subunit ribosomal RNA
Source: RNAcentral